UACGUAGGGUGCGAGCGUUGUCCGGAAUUACUGGGCGUAAAGAGCGCGCAGGCGGUCGUUCAAGUCGAGUGUGAAAGCCCCCGGCUCAACUGGGGAGGGUCACGCGAUACUGAUCGACUCGAAGGCAGGAGAGGGUAGUGGAAUUCCCGGUGUAGUGGUGAAAUGCGUAGAUAUCGGGAGGAACACCAGUGGCGAAGGCGACUACCUGGCCUGUUCUUGACGCUCAUGCACGAAAGCGUGGGGAGCAAACAGG
Molecule: ribosomal RNA, 253 nt
Filed under: uncultured bacterium
Lineage: Bacteria
Description: partial 16S ribosomal RNA
Rfam family: Bacterial small subunit ribosomal RNA
Source: RNAcentral